UGAGGAAUAUUGGUCAAUGGGCGAGAGCCUGAACCAGCCAAGUAGCGUGCAGGAUGACGGCCCUAUGGGUUGUAAACUGCUUUUAUGUGGGGAUAAAGUGCGUGACGUGUCAUGCAUUGCAGGUACCACAUGAAUAAGGACCGGCUAAUUCCGUGCCAGCAGCCGCGGUAAUACGGAAGGUCCGGGCGUUAUCCGGAUUUAUUGGGUUUAAAGGGAGCGUAGGCUGUCUAUUAAGCGUGUUGUGAAAUUUACCGGCUCAACCGGUGGCUUGCAGCGCGAACUGGUCGACUUGAGUAUGCAGGAAGUAGGCGGAAUUCAUGGAGUAGCGGUGAAAUGCUUAGAUAUCAUGACGAACUCCGAUUGCGCAGGCAGCUUACUGUAGCAUAACUGACGCUGAUGCUCGAAAGUGCGGGUAUCAAACAGG
RNAcentral lists this ribosomal RNA (424 nucleotides) under Fusobacteriota bacterium. Its description in RNAcentral is "Fusobacteria bacterium partial 16S ribosomal RNA". It matches the Rfam family "Bacterial small subunit ribosomal RNA", at positions 355 to 776 of the family's 1533-position model. Lineage: Bacteria; Fusobacteriati; Fusobacteriota. The record is from RNAcentral.